GAUUAAGUGGCUGAAGUUUAGGCGAUAGAUUGUAAAUCUAUUUAUAAGAGUUAUUCUUCUUAAUCAUUAUAAAUUGGUCUUAUAGUCAAUAAUGACAUCAAACUGCAAUUUUGAAGGAGUAAAAUUUUACUAAGGCUUAAAGGAAUACCCCAUAUUUACAGCUUUGAAGGCUAUUAGUUUAAUUAACUUAAAGCCUUUUUAGAAUAUAAAAAAAAAUAAAGAAAUUAGGAAUAAUCCAAAAAUUGAAAAAAAAGUUAUAGUUAAAUAUAAAUUAGUAUUACUACUAUUUAUAUUUAUUUCUAUGACUCAGUUAUUUUCAAAAUAAUUUAGUAUAAAAGCUGAAUAACAAAUUCGUAAAUAAAAAAAUAAUGUAAUUAAAGUUGAUAUUAUCAUUACUGUUAAUAAAAAGUAUUGAUUACAUAAUGUUAAUUGUUGAAUUACAAGUCAUUUUGGUAAAAAUCCUAAAAAUGGAGGUAAUCCACCUAAAGAUAAAAAAUUUAUAAAUAAUGAAAAUUUUAAAAUUUUUCUAUUAACAAAUCAAGAAAAUAAUUGAUUUAAAUGAAAUAAUUUAAAAAUAUUAAAUAUAAAUGUUAAAACAAAAGAUAAAAAUGAAUAAAAUAAAAAAUAAAUUAGUCAAAUAGAUUCUCUAAUUAUUAAAGAUCUUAGUAUUCAUCCCAAAUGAUUAAUAGAAGAAAAAGCUAUUAAUUUUCGCAAUGAAGUUUGAUUUAAUCCACCAAUUGCACCAAUAAUUACUGAUAAAAUUACUCUAAUUAAUAAUAAAUUCUUAAUAUUUAAAUAAGAAAUUAAUAUUAAUGGGGCAAUUUUUUGUCAAGUUAUUAAUAUUAGUGCAUUUAUUCAUGUUAAUCCUUCUAUUAUAUUAGGAAAUCAAAAAUGGAAAGGAGCGGCCCCACUUUUUAAUAGUAAGGCUGAUAUAAUAAUUAUUGAUGUAAAAGAUUCAUUAAUUUCAUUAUUUAUAUUAUUCUUUAAUAUUAAUAAAAUUGAAGAAAAUAAUAAAACAGUUGA
Molecule: transfer RNA, 1023 nt
Filed under: Drosophila takahashii
Lineage: Eukaryota; Metazoa; Arthropoda; Insecta; Diptera; Drosophilidae
Description: partial tRNA-Tyr
Rfam family: tRNA (bases 1-66)
Source: RNAcentral